GGCGGACGGGUGAGUAACACGUGGAUAACCUACCUAUAAGACUGGGAUAACUUCGGGAAACCGGAGCUAAUACCGGAUAAUAUUUUGAACCGCAUGGUUCAAAAGUGAAAGACGGUCUUGCUGUCACUUAUAGAUGGAUCCGCGCUGCAUUAGCUAGUUGGUAAGGUAACGGCUUACCAAGGCAACGAUGUAUAGCCGACCUGAGAGGGUGAUCGGCCACACUGGAACUGAGACACGGUCCAG
This 243-nucleotide ribosomal RNA is filed under the name uncultured Staphylococcus sp. RNAcentral's name for it is "partial 16S ribosomal RNA". It matches the Rfam family "Bacterial small subunit ribosomal RNA", at positions 97 to 334 of the family's 1533-position model. Lineage: Bacteria; Bacillati; Bacillota; Bacilli; Caryophanales; Staphylococcaceae. The record is from RNAcentral.